GAAAGCAAUGUCCCAGACGGUCAUCAAGUGUGUCAGACGUUGAACAUCAGUAGCUUUACCACUUUUGAGGCUAAGCAGUGUCCAAGACGGUGGCUCCAGCGUCCAAGAUGCUGGGUAUUGGAAACAGCUACUCGCAUCCACUGCCAAGCGCCGUCCCGGAGACUCGGUCCGCGUCCAAGGCAUUGGAACGUCAUGAGAAUCACAGGUUCAAAGAAAGGAAAGGAUAAAGCAUCAUCUUCCUCGCCUCCGGCUAGUAAAAGACAAAAAAAGGGUACUCAAAUAACCGAAUCUGAAACGGUGCAAGUUCCCGAACCGAAGUGGACGAGGAGGAACUGGUUGUGUGAUUUAAAAGGGGUGUGUCGAAAAGAUUUAUAUUACAAGAAGCUGAAGGAAAAAGUAUCAAAUUUAGAUAAUCUUUUGGUGGUUGAGAAAGCUAUUAAAGUUGAAGAUUUUAGAUCGUUGAAGGUGGAAGAGUGUUUUGAAAGGCUCGGUUGGGAGGCAUGUUUGGUUUAUAGGGAUGAAAAGGGGGGUAAUAAUAUUCCAAGAGACGCCAUUUUGCAAUGGAUGGACACUUUAGAAAAGGAUGAGGGGGAUAAUCCUCCACGUACAACAACUCUUAAGGGGAAGGUUGGAAGGAAGAUAAUGGAGAUGUCAUUUGAUACAAUUCGACAGGUGGCUAAUUUUGAUACAAGGGAGGAAGGUACGUACUAUUACCCACCUGAUCGGGAAAUCUACAAGUAGAAUCAGGGUGAGGAGAUUGACCAGAAUAUGAAGGAUUUGUUGUGUCGACCGGGGACAACAGAGUGGGUUAGGCGAGAGAUGAAUAUUCUCCCCAAAUUAUGUGCGGUUAUCGCUGGGCAUAAUGUGAUACCCCGCCUAGGAGAUAAAGGGAAAGUGAGAUUGUAUGAGUUAAGGGUUUUAUGUGCAUUAGUGGCGGGAACCGAGAGACUUUCUUUAAGGCACCUGAUUAUGAGCAAUGUUUGGGAAAGCAGAAACAGUUAUGACCGGUGUUUCAUCCCUCACUGCCGGUUAAUCACACAUUUGAUAAGGGUUCAAGGAUGUCUUGGUAACAAUAUUUAUCAUGUACACAAAACUCAUCGAUUCUUAUCCUUGAACGGCUUAGAUAAGAAGGAUUGGGAGAUACACCCUUACUGAUACACAUCAUGUUUUGAAGGAUAGGGUAACGGGGCAAAGUUUAAAGGGUCGAAGAGACGACGUGCCACCGGUUGAUGAGAUAGAAGAAGAGAUGGAGGAUACAGAAGAGGAAGAGAGUGAAGAAAGUGAUGGUGAUGAGAUUGAUAGGAAGACGGGACAAUACAAAAAGGAGAUUGAGGUGUUGGUAGUGAUAUAACACCUCGAAAAUUCAUGUCCAAUAAUGUAUCGACACGUGUCAUGAGCUUUAAACGUGUAAAGGAUUACUUUAGAGGGACUAAAGUUGACAAACAAGGAAUCUAUGUGAAUAAAAGGAUUCAAAGUGUCAACAAUGAAUAAAUAUAUCUUUCAAUAACCCUACAUGAUGUUUAUACUCUUAAACGAAUAAAUCAUGGAUCAUACGAAGCAAAUUGUGAAAGAAAGUGAGGAAUUACAAACUACAUGGGUUAAAUGUGUCAACAUGUUUAAAGUAUACCUCUGAGUGACCUUUUAGCGAACCCGAAGCUUGUUAAUGAUUAAUUAUACUCACGAGAAUAAGUGAUAAAAAUUUCACAAAGUUUCGUUGUCGUAUGAGAAAGUUAUGACAAUAUUCGUAUACGAGGUGUUAAAAGCGUCAACGUUGAAAUUUAAGACUUUUCGGUGAUCGUAUGAAUAACCGGGGACUUAAUAAAGUUGGUUUAUGACUUGGGGUCCUUAAAAAUCAAGUUGGAAGGCCAAAAGUGCAAGAAACAAGCUCAAAACCACGUUUGAAAAGGAUCAGGGGCCAAAAUGUAAUAAAUGAAAGUUAUGUGACCUGACCCGACCCUCAUACCGGCCGCGUAAGGGUCUAUGGGGACCUUACGCGGGCCGCCUGGGGCUGCCAGCAACAGAAAAACACCACAGGUGGCUGUUUCAGCCGGUUACACCGCCUCAAUUUACCAUUUCUUGAUUCUAGGGGCUUGUUUGAUGGUUUAUGAUGGCCUAGGGACACUUGGGAUGAUCAGGAAUUAUCCCAUAGACUUAUUUGGCAUGAUCAUGAAGAAUUUAAACCCCUAUAUAAAGUACCAUUUGUUGCAAGACUUGGACACUUGCAUUCAAAGCUUCACAACUUCACUUCUGAGGAUUCCUGGAGCUCAAGCACCCUUCCUAGUGAUCAUUAGUCGUGCAUAGGACCUUGAAUAGGAGACCCGGUAAAAGCCACGUGCACUUGCUUAUUGUGAUUAUUACUUGCAAAGGUAAAUACUCUUAACUUAUUUUCCCUAUACGGGCUUGGGAUACGGUAUUAUAAUACCGCUUGGUCGGGUAUGUAGUCAUUUAAAUUGUAAUGUGAUUGAUGUAUUUACAUAACCUGUUUUAUUCUGUAUUAUUUGUUGUAUGGCCUUUGGGGGUUAAAUGACCAUGUCCCGGAUAUCCUUGGCAUCAUUCAAAGAAAUGGCCACGACCUAAGCACGGGGUGUAGGCGUACACCUGACAGAUGCAUAUGUAAAAACUGGUAGCCCACUUAAAGGAAAUAACCUUGUGAGUAUUAUACCUGUGGCGUGUCAGUUAAUCUUGAGCGGCCCUACAAACCGGCUCUAAUGGACGACAAAUAAGUAAAACUGUAUACAAGAUUAUUUCUAAAUAAUUGUCCCAAGUUAUAAAAGAUAUUUUUUUGCCUAAGUGCAUUCAAAUCAAUUUUCUAAACAUUUUCAAAAUGAGUCAGUUAAGUUGUAUUUACCAGUGUAAACUGACGUAUUUUCCAAAAAGGCUAAGUGCAGGUACUAUACGUAAUAGGCUGGCUACUCCAGGCAUCAAUUAUCAAGUCUUGCAAGCUCUAGAUGUCAAAGUCUGUUGAACAGUUUUCCUUUUUAUUUGAUCCGCCUGUGGAUCUGUUUAACUAUUUUGUGAUACUUAAUAUUACAAAUUAUUCAGUUGAAAUGAAUCAAUCUUUCUGCU
Molecule: long non-coding RNA, 3066 nt
Organism: Helianthus annuus (common sunflower)
Lineage: Eukaryota; Viridiplantae; Streptophyta; Magnoliopsida; Asterales; Asteraceae
Exons: 3
Source: RefSeq, a predicted model, not a curated record